UACGUAGGUGGCAAGCGUUGCUCGGAAUCACUGGGCGUAAAGGGCGCGUAGGCGGGAUGGCAAGUCAGUCGUGAAAUCUCUCGGCUCAACCGAGAAACGUCGGCUGAUACUGCCGUUCUUGAGGGAUGCAGAGGAGACUGGAAUUCCCGGUGUAGCGGUGAAAUGUGUAGAGAUCGGGAGGAACACCGGUGGCGAAGGCGGGUCUCUGGGCAUUUCCUGACGCUGAGGCGCGAAAGCGUGGGGAGCAAACGGG
Molecule: ribosomal RNA, 253 nt
Filed under: uncultured bacterium
Lineage: Bacteria
Description: partial 16S ribosomal RNA
Rfam family: Bacterial small subunit ribosomal RNA
Source: RNAcentral